CGCGCAGGCGGCGCGUUAAGUCCGGGGUGAAUCCAUCGGCUCAACCGGUGGGGGACCUUGGAUACUGGCGCACUGGAGUGCGGGAGAGGGAAGCGGAAUUCCACGUGUAACGGUGAAAUGUAUAGAUAUGUGGAGGAACACCGGUGGCGAAGGCGGCUUCCUGGACCGUAACUGACGCUGAGGCGCGAAAGCUGGGGGAGCGAACA
This 206-nucleotide ribosomal RNA is filed under the name uncultured bacterium. RNAcentral's name for it is "partial 16S ribosomal RNA". It matches the Rfam family "Bacterial small subunit ribosomal RNA", at positions 568 to 774 of the family's 1533-position model. The record is from RNAcentral.